CCUGCCCUAUCCUUGCUCAGCCACUGCAGAAUGGUGCCCAUGCAGCACCAUGAAGCAGGAGCACUGUCCCACACCUCACUGACACCCAACUCCGGGAUGUCCUUCACUGAUGAGCAGCUCCCUGGAAAAACUUGGAGUGCAAGAGGAAAAGCAAAUUCACUGUGAUCCAGAAAGUUAUACUAUUAGACCUCUCAUGGGACAAAACAGUGACUUCAAAGGAUCGCUGCUCUUCACAGCUGUCUGAAUGAAGGACACAGAGAAGAUCAAGCCAGAUGAGAACUAGAGGUGCACAGUAGAACAAGAGGCAACAAACACAAGCUGGAACAGCAAGCAUCAGUGGUUGAUAAUGGAUGUAAUUUUUUCCACAUGAAGGAGUUCAGUCCCACACCUUUAAUUCAGACACGCUUCCGUGUCAGACAGCAGUUGGUCAGAGUGCCCCUCUGCUGCCAUCUGUAAUGUACAUUCCGUAUAACGGAAUAUUGACAGAAUGGCUCGACAUCUGUUGACAUACCGCCAACAUGUGACUCUGAUGCAAUGGGCCAAAACAAUAAAUUAGAAG
This 559-nucleotide long non-coding RNA is filed under the name Coturnix japonica (Japanese quail). RNAcentral describes it as "lncRNA (ENSCJPG00005007989.1)". The record is from RNAcentral. Lineage: Eukaryota; Metazoa; Chordata; Aves; Galliformes; Phasianidae.